This 492-nucleotide ribosomal RNA is filed under the name uncultured bacterium. RNAcentral's name for it is "partial 16S ribosomal RNA". It matches the Rfam family "Bacterial small subunit ribosomal RNA", at positions 29 to 507 of the family's 1533-position model. The record is from RNAcentral.
AGUGAACGCUGGCGGUAGGCCUAACACAUGCAAGUCGAACGGCAGCACAGUAAGAGCUUGCUCUUACUGUUGGCGAGUGGCGGACGGGUGAGGAAUACAUCGGAAUCUACUUUUUCGUGGGGGAUAACGUAGGGAAACUUACGCUAAUACCUCAUACGACCUACGGGUGAAAGCAGGGGAUCUUCGGACCUUGCGCGAUUGAAUUAGCCGAUGUCGGAUUAGCUAGUUGGCGGGGUAAAGGCCCACCAAGGCGACGAUCCGUAGCUGGUCUGAGAGGAUGAUCAGCCACACUGGAACUGAGACACGGUCCAGACUCCUACGGGAGGCAGCAGUGGGGAAUAUUGGACAAUGGGCGAAAGCCUGAUCCAGCCAUACCGCGUGGGUGAAGAAGGCCUUCGGGUUGUAAAGCCCUUUUGUUGGGGAAGAAAAGAAGCAGGUGAAUACCCCGAUGUUCUGACGGUACCCAAAGAAUAAGCACCGGCUAACUUCGUG